UAUUCCAGGGGCACUCCCCAGCACACACCCUCCUGCCUGCAAAUCUCUGCCUCAGAUUCUGUUUCCUGGGUAACCUGACCUAAGAAAAUUGAUCAUACAUAGAACCCUACUGUAACUGACUCCUUUGAAGAACUAUGAAAGAUGAGGGAGUGAGAAAAAAAAAAAAAUCACAGUGUCCCAUAUCUCUGUUAAGCUGUAGACCUCAAAGCAUGUCACAGAGAACCUAAAUGACACCUAUCGCAAUGAAGCACAGGGGUUGGCCUCAACAGUUGUAAUUGUCCUACACCACCUUCUCCUGGAAAUUGCUGGACCAUCGAUCCCAGCCUGGGUCAACAUCUCUAUCCUAUUGACUUGUAACAAAGAGACUGAUAAUGUAGUUUUCUACUACAAACAUGAAAUUGAGAGCUCUGGCAUGAACAUGUGCAUGGAGAAACAGUUGUGUUGUUCAUGUAAGAGAUGAAUGUAACAGACAAGAAACCAUAUUAUCCACAGUUUUUACAGUAAAGGAGACCAACCAGCCUUAUAGAGGAGCUAUUCCCAGAACUUACCAUAAAAUGCAAGGACAUCCAAGUGGCACCAAGGGUGGAUGAGAGUGGAUGCUCUGAAGCACCAGCCAGAUCCCCUUUAAGAAUUGAAGCACUAAUUUCCCCAGCUGCUGGAAGUGCUGGUAGCUGACGACCCUCAGCUGAAGAAUGUUGACUCACACAAGCUUGUAGCCUCUCCCUGAUGGAAACCAAUAGCCUACAGGUGGUCGAAUCCAGUCCCUAAAAGUCAGCACCUGCCCCCGCAUGCUUGCCUCAAAGAAGGGCAAUUGUCUCAAUUGCAGCGUUCCCUGAGCUAUGGACUGAAGCAUCCACUGCAACUCCUUCACCAUUCUAUUUCUUCCUCUGUGUAAUCAUGUUUUUUUUCUGUCCUCACAAGUGUUAUUACUGAGAGCAAUUUCCAAUAAAGUUUCUGCCUACAAAAUAA
Molecule: long non-coding RNA, 969 nt
Filed under: Rhinopithecus bieti (black snub-nosed monkey)
Lineage: Eukaryota; Metazoa; Chordata; Mammalia; Primates; Cercopithecidae
Description: lncRNA (ENSRBIG00000045365.1)
Source: RNAcentral